UUACACUAGUGGACCCAGAGAGCUGCCUCUGCUUCCAGAGCUGAAUGUGCUAAAGAACAAGCUGAGGGAGUGGACUGGAUUGCUGAGGUCCUGCUUGUAGACAAAAGGGGGCUCUUAGGAAGGCCUCAGAUGACUAGGGAAUUUCAGGCCUAGAUCCAACUUGAUAUCACUUAGGCUGAUUCCCCAUGUAAUCCAUGCCUUCUCUCUAAAACAUCUGAUCCAAGUGGCAGCUGGAUCUGGAUUUAGUCACCCUCAAGAGUUAUUAUCAAUAGUCAAUGCAGAGACUGGUCCAAGUGCUGAGUCUUCUCAGCCCACUGAGUGCUCAGCCCAAAGUGGGAUAUCUUUAUCAAUCCCCUACCCAUAUCUGAGGCUCAUCACAGAAGAGGAGGUAGAAAGAAAGUAGGAGCUGAAGGAUGGGGAGGAGUGCCGUGAAAUGUCUUGUGGACUGAUGUGGACAUUGUGAACUCACAGCUGCUGUGUUUACCUGAACAAGACCUGCACAAACUCAAGAUGGUCAAAAUUCCAGCAGAGAUAAGGGAGCUGAUUCCAGGCCCCACCCCUUACUGAGGAGCUAUUGGAAGUUGAUUGUUGCUGGGUGUGUACAAGGGGGCAUCUUUCUUCUUGGAGGUUUUUUUCAGAGUUUACUUGAACAUUCUGGGUGAACUGCAUUUGUGAGACUGGAGGAACAUGUCAACCUUCAGGAUCCAACGCGUUAUUUGUAUUUCACAGAUGCCCGUUUCAGAUCCAAAGGAUUCCUUUGAUUCUUAAUUUGCCUAGAGGGGUCAUAAAACUGGAUUGUCAAACGCUUUCGAAUUCUGUAACAAACUAAUAAAAAAGUACCUUUUGGUAGAUUGCUGGA
Nannospalax galili (Upper Galilee mountains blind mole rat) is the source of this 859-nucleotide long non-coding RNA. RefSeq lists it as uncharacterized. The record is from RefSeq and is a predicted model, not a curated record. Lineage: Eukaryota; Metazoa; Chordata; Mammalia; Rodentia; Spalacidae. The transcript has 4 exons.